RNAcentral lists this transfer RNA (73 nucleotides) under Solirubrobacterales bacterium. RNAcentral's name for it is "tRNA-Ala". It matches the Rfam family "tRNA". From Rfam's summary of the family: Transfer RNA (tRNA) molecules are approximately 80 nucleotides in length. Their secondary structure includes four short double-helical elements and three loops (D, anti-codon, and T loops). The record is from RNAcentral. Lineage: Bacteria; Bacillati; Actinomycetota; Thermoleophilia; Solirubrobacterales. RNAcentral also lists the same sequence under 3 other names.
GGGGCCAUAGCUCAGCUGGCAGAGCGCCGCCUUUGCAAGGCGGAGGUCGCCGGUUCGAUCCCGGCUGGCUCCA